Molecule: ribosomal RNA, 486 nt
Filed under: uncultured bacterium
Lineage: Bacteria
Description: partial 16S ribosomal RNA
Rfam family: Bacterial small subunit ribosomal RNA
Source: RNAcentral
AUUGAACGCUGGCGGCAUGCCUUACACAUGCAAGUCGAACGGCAGCACGGGUGCUUGCACCUGGUGGCGAGUGGCGAACGGGUGAGUAAUACAUCGGCACAUGUCCUGUAGUGGGGGAUAGCCCGGCGAAAGCCGGAUUAAUACCGCAUACGAACUACGGAUGAAAGCGGGGGACCUUCGGGCCUCGCGCUAUAGGGUUGGCCGAUGGCUGAUUAGCUAGUUGGUGGGGUAAAGGCCUACCAAGGCGACGAUCAGUAGCUGGUCUGAGAGGACGACCAGCCACACUGGGACUGAGACACGGCCCAGACUCCUACGGGAGGCAGCAGUGGGGAAUUUUGGACAAUGGGCGAAAGCCUGAUCCAGCAAUGCCGCGUGUGUGAAGAAGGCCUUCGGGUUGUAAAGCACUUUUGUCCGGAAAGAAAACCUUGGCCCUAAUACGGUCGGGGGAUGACGGUACCGGAAGAAUAAGCACCGGCUAACUACGUG